RNAcentral lists this ribosomal RNA (539 nucleotides) under Pareiorhaphis hystrix. Its description in RNAcentral is "partial small subunit ribosomal RNA". It matches the Rfam family "Bacterial small subunit ribosomal RNA", at positions 273 to 1062 of the family's 1533-position model. Lineage: Eukaryota; Metazoa; Chordata; Actinopteri; Siluriformes; Loricariidae. The record is from RNAcentral.
CCGGGGACGAGGAGCUGGCAUCAGGCACACCAGAUGGCCCAAGACGCCUUGCUCAGCCACACCCCCAAGGGAAUUCAGCAGUAAUAAACAUUAAGCCAUAAGUGAAAACUUGACUUAGUUAGGGUUAAGAGGGCCGGUAAAAUUCGUGCCAGCCACCGCGGUUAUACGAAAGACCCUAGUUUAUAGGCACGGCGUAAAGGGUGGUUAUGGGACAGACAAAAUAAAGCUAAAGACCCCCAGAGCCGUCAUACGCCCACGGGGACGCGAAACCCAAAUACGAAAGUAGCUUUACCAAACAAAUGCCCGACCCCACGAAAGCUGAGAAACAAACUGGGAUUAGAUACCCCACUAUGCCCAGCCUUAAACCUAGAUGAAAACUUACAAAACCAUCCGCCCGGGGACUACAAGCACAGCUUAAAACCCAAAGGACUUGGCGGUGCCUCAGACCCACCUAGAGGAGCCUGUUCUAGAACCGAUAACCCCCGUUAAACCUCACCACCUCUUGUUUUCCCCGCCUAUAUACCGCCGUCGUCAGCUUA